Molecule: transfer RNA, 83 nt
Filed under: Skermania pinensis
Lineage: Bacteria; Bacillati; Actinomycetota; Actinomycetes; Mycobacteriales; Gordoniaceae
Description: Skermania piniformis tRNA-Leu(caa)
Rfam family: tRNA
About the family: Transfer RNA (tRNA) molecules are approximately 80 nucleotides in length.
Source: RNAcentral
GCCGGGAUGGCGGAAUGGCAGACGCGGUGGUCUCAAAAACCAUUGUCCUCACGGACGUGUGGGUUCGACUCCCACUCUCGGCA